RNAcentral lists this ribosomal RNA (305 nucleotides) under uncultured bacterium. RNAcentral describes it as "bacterial SSU rRNA". It matches the Rfam family "Bacterial small subunit ribosomal RNA", at positions 337 to 634 of the family's 1533-position model. The record is from RNAcentral.
CCCUACGGGACGCAGCAGUAGGGAAUUUUCCCCCUUUGUUGAGAGCCUGAUGGAGCAACGCCGCGUGGGUGAAGAAGGUCUUCGGAUCGUAAAACCCUGUUGUUAGAGAAGAAAGUGCGUGAGAGUAACUGUUCACGUUUCGACGGUAUCUAACCAGAAAGCCACGGCUAACUACGUGCCAGCAGCCGCGGUAAUACGUAGGUGGCAAGCGUUAUCCGGAUUUAUUGGGCGUAAAGGGAACGCAGGCGGUCUUUUAAGUCUGAUGUGAAAGCCUUCGGCUUAACCGGAGUAGUGCAUUGGAAACU